RNAcentral lists this ribosomal RNA (497 nucleotides) under uncultured bacterium. RNAcentral's name for it is "partial 16S ribosomal RNA". It matches the Rfam family "Bacterial small subunit ribosomal RNA", at positions 28 to 507 of the family's 1533-position model. The record is from RNAcentral.
GUUGAACGCUGGCGGCGUGCCUAAUACAUGCAAGUCGAACGAAAACAUGCGGAGCGUUCCUCACUGACGUCGGAGGGGGACGGGAGAGAAAGAAACGGAUAACCUACCUGGAAGUAAGGGAUCACUUCGGGAAAUCGGAGCUCAUACCGGCUAAUAUAGUGAACGGCAUGGCACAAUAGUGAAAGUCGGUUUUGCUGUCUGUUAUAGCCGGAUCCGCGCCGCAUUAGGUAGUUGGUAAGGUAACGGCUUACCAAGGCAACGAUGCGUAGCCGACCUGAGAGGAUGAUCAGCCACACUGGAACUGAGACACGGCCCAGACUCCUACGGGAGGCAGCAGUGGGGAAUCUUGCGCAAUGGGCGAAAGCUUGACGGAGCAACGCCGCGUGAGUGAAGAAGGUCUUCGGGUCGUAAAACGCUGUUAUAAGGGAAGAAAAGGUGUUGAAUAAACCAUGCACGUCUUGACGGUACCGAAAGAGAAAGCCACGGCUAACUACGUG